CAAUAAUUAAUCUUGUUGCUAAAUUUUGUGACCAUUUUCUUAAGUGAUUUCUUAAGAUACAACUUCUAGAAAUGAAAUUUCUAGAUUAAUGGGUAUAUAUACUUUUAAUGCUUUUUUAAUAAAUUGGAAAUUACUUUCCUUAUUUUAUAAAUGUAUACAUCUUCUAUCCAGAUAAAAGGUCCCAAUUAUUUCAACCUCACCAAUGUCAAGUAUAUUAGCAUUUUAAUCAUUGUCAAUGCAAUAGCUUAAAUUUUUUUUAUUUAGUAACUUACUUUUCUUUAAAUACUGAUGAUGUUGAACACUUUUAAAUGUUUUGAGGACAAGUGACUUGUCAUUUGUCUCCUACUGUUAUUUCUAUUCAGUAUAUCUUUUUCUUGUUGCUUUGUAAAAGUACUUCAUAUACUAAGGAGUUAAAUUUUGCUCUACAUGUUUAAACCAUAUCUAUCAUGUUAAAAUGUAUAAACUGGAUGUCCCUUUGUCUUUUACUUUGUUUUUAUUAAUCAGGAAAGAAUGCUGAAUUUUCAGUCUAUUUAGAUGAUAAUGGUUUCUUCCCUAAAUGAUGUUAACAUGCGCAAUUGUAUGAGUUGAUUUCCUAAAAUUGAGAUAUCCUUGUAUUCCUGCAAUAUACCGUCUUUGGGUGUGUCACAUCAAUCUUAUAUUUAACUACCAAAUCUGACUUAUUGAUAUUUAUUUGUGCCAAUAUUUGCAAGUUCAUAAAAUUAAAAGUUUAUCAUUUUCUUCUCUAUUAGCCUUACUUUAGCAUUAUGAUAGUUUUCAUAAACUUGGGAGUUUCCAUAUAAUUGUGGUUAGUGCUUAUGUUAGCAUUAUGUCCCUCAAAAUGUUGGAAGCUUGAUCCCCAGUGUGGCAGUGUUGAGAAGUCCAUAGGGAGGUAUUAGGGUCAUUGGGGGUAUCACCCUCGGAAAACAAUAGGGAUUGUCUUUUGGAGUGAGUUACUUAUCUUAAAAUGAGGGUGUUAUAAAGCAAGACCACCUCCCAUCCGUUUUGCCCCUUCUGCAAAGCCAAUUCCCUUUUUGUUUCUCUAACAUAUUAUGAUACAACCAGAGAGCCAUAGCCAAAGUACUCAGCCUCAGGUAUUUGGUUACGGCAAAAGAAAUAGACUAUAGCUCUGUAGUAUAAUUUGAUAUCAGGAAUUAUAAAGACAUGAGCAUUGUUCAAUAUGGCUUUCACUAAUCCGGGUCUUUUUUUCUUCCAUAUGGAUUUUAGAACUGUUUUUUUUUUCCUAGUUCUGUGAAGAAAAUCAUUGAUAUUUUGGUGGGGAUUGGGUUGAAUUUGAUAUCACUUUUGAUAAUAUGGCCAUUUUUACAAUGUUUUUUCUACCUAUCCAUAGAAUAUCUUUCAAUUUUCUGAGGUUCUUUUCAAUUUCUUUCUUCAGUAUUCUAUAAUUUUCAUUAGAGAGGUCUUUCACCUCCUUGGUUAGAUUUAUUCCCAAGUUUUGUUGUUAUUGUUUGAAGCAAUUGUGAUUAGAAUUGUUUUUGAUUUCUUUCUCAGCAGAUUCAUUAUUGUAGUAUAGGAAAGCUAUUGUUUUUUAUAUAUUGAUCUUGUAUCUUGCUACAUUGCUGAAUUGAUUUAUCAGUUCUAGAAGUCUUCUGGUGACUUUUUUGGGAUCUUCUAAAUAUAGGAUCAUAUCAUCAGCACACAGAUAAUUUGACUUCUUAUUUUCCUAUUUAUAUACCUUUAAUUUCUUUCUCUUAUCUGAUUGCUCUGGCCAGAGUUUUAAGAACUAU
This 1745-nucleotide long non-coding RNA is filed under the name Marmota monax (woodchuck). Lineage: Eukaryota; Metazoa; Chordata; Mammalia; Rodentia; Sciuridae. The record is from RNAcentral.